GUCCAUUCAACGGAGCUCCAUAACCUACAAAAUCCGAAUACAAGUCCUCACUUUUUGAGUCGAUGAGCCAUCACAUCAAAAACGGGUCCAAAUAUCUGAUCCAAAAAGUUGACGAUUCUACAUCGAUGAUGCCAUUCACUAGAUCAGAAGAAGCAAAACAAUCGCAAUUAUGAAAUCCCAGCUCUUUUUAACCUUUCCUUUGCCUGUUUCGAACUCCUUCC
This 221-nucleotide long non-coding RNA is filed under the name Musa acuminata (dwarf banana). RNAcentral's name for it is "long non-coding RNA (MACU_LNC011456)". The record is from RNAcentral. Lineage: Eukaryota; Viridiplantae; Streptophyta; Magnoliopsida; Zingiberales; Musaceae.